UACGGAGGGGACUAGCGUUGUUCGGAAUUACUGGGCGUAAAGCGCACGUAGGCGGCUACUCAAGUCAGAGGUGAAAGCCCGGGGCUCAACCCCGGAACUGCCUUUGAAACUAGGUAGCUAGAAUCUUGGAGAGGUCAGUGGAAUUCCGAGUGUAGAGGUGAAAUUCGUAGAUAUUCGGAAGAACACCAGUGGCGAAGGCGACUGACUGGACAAGUAUUGACGCUGAGGUGCGAAAGCGUGGGGAGCAAACAGG
This 253-nucleotide ribosomal RNA is filed under the name uncultured bacterium. RNAcentral describes it as "partial 16S ribosomal RNA". It matches the Rfam family "Bacterial small subunit ribosomal RNA", at positions 524 to 776 of the family's 1533-position model. The record is from RNAcentral.